RNAcentral lists this ribosomal RNA (696 nucleotides) under uncultured Alphaproteobacteria bacterium. RNAcentral's name for it is "bacterial SSU rRNA". It matches the Rfam family "Bacterial small subunit ribosomal RNA", at positions 9 to 751 of the family's 1533-position model. Lineage: Bacteria; Pseudomonadati; Pseudomonadota; Alphaproteobacteria. The record is from RNAcentral.
GAGUUUGAUCCUGGCUCAGAACGAACGCUGGCGGUGCUUAACACAUGCAAGUCGAACGAGAGAAGCAUUCUCUAGUGGCGGACGGGUGAGUAAUACUUAGGAAUCUGCCUCAAAGUGUGGGAUAACUUUUGGAAACGAAAGGUAAUAGCACAUACGCCCUACGGGGGAAAGGAGCAAUCCGCUUUGAGAUGAGCCUAGGUCCGAUUAGCUAGUUGGUAGGGUAAUGGCCUACCAAGGCGAUGACCGGUAGCUGUUCUUAGAGGAAGAUCAGCCACAUUGGGACUGAGACACGGCCCAGACUCCUACGGGAGGCAGCAGUGAGGAAUAUUGGACAAUGGGGGAAACCCUGAUCCAGCAAUGCCGCGUGAGUGAAGAAGGCCUUCGGGUUGUAAAGCUCUUUUGCAGGUGAAGAUAAUGACGGUAACCUGAGAAUAAGCCCCGGCUAACCUCGUGCCAGCAGCCGCGGUAAUACGAGGGGGGCUAGCGUUGUUCGGAAUUACUGGGCCGUAAAGGGUGCGUAUGUUGUUUUGUAAGUUAGGUGUGAAAUCCUCGAUUUCAAGUUGAGAACUGCACUUAAUACUGCAAAGCUAGAGAAUAGUAAGAUAGUGGAAUUUCAAGUGUAGGGGUAAAAUCCGUAGAUAUUUGAAGGAACAUCAAAGGCGAAGGCGACUAUCUGGGCUAUUUCUGACCCUUGAG